ACCAACUCAUCGUGAGAUCCUAUUUCAAUCACUCUCCCUGAUUGAAGAACCGCUAUCAAAUCAGCCUUGCGGAUAGUGAUUGAGCAUCCAAAGCACUUGUGGCUUCAUCAAGCAAAAGAAUUUCCGGGUCUCUGAUUAUUGCUCUUGCUAUGGAAAUCCUUUGCAUUUGUCCUCCAGACAAUUGGACUCCAAAUUGCCCAACCUGAAGUGAAAGGGCGGAUUGGAACUUGGGACCUCUUCUAACAUUGGGAAGAGAAGUAUCACUACACCAAUAGGUAGUUGGAAUUACAUGGACCGUCCUCAACUUACACCUUUGUGGACAAAUGGUGUGGAGACUGAUUGCUUUGCAGUUUUAUCAGAGAAUGGUAGGCACCGCCACGU
Non-coding RNA from Prunus avium (sweet cherry), 381 nucleotides. The record is from RefSeq and is a predicted model, not a curated record. NCBI's taxonomy places the organism in Eukaryota, Viridiplantae, Streptophyta, Magnoliopsida, Rosales, Rosaceae.